RNAcentral lists this ribosomal RNA (252 nucleotides) under uncultured bacterium. Its description in RNAcentral is "partial 16S ribosomal RNA". It matches the Rfam family "Bacterial small subunit ribosomal RNA", at positions 524 to 776 of the family's 1533-position model. The record is from RNAcentral.
UACGGAGGAUGCGAGCGUUAUCCGGAUUUAUUGGGUUUAAAGGGUGCGCAGGCGGAUUUUUAAGUCAGCGGUCAAAUCGUGGGGCUCAACCCCAUCCAGCCGUUGAAACUGGGGACCUAGAGUGUGCGAGAGGUAUGCGGAAUGCGUGGUGUAGCGGUGAAAUGCAUAGAUAUCACGCAGAACCCCGAUUGCGAAGGCAGCAUACCGGUGCACAACUGACGCUCAGGCACGAAAGCGUGGGUAUCAAACAGG